GAUGAAGAACGCAGCGAAAUGCGAUACGUAAUGUGAAUUGCAGAAUUCAGUGAAUCAUCGAGUCUUUGAACGCACAUUGCGCCCCCUGGUAUUCCGGGGGGCAUGCCUGUCCGAGCGUCAUUGCUGCCCUCAAGCACGGCUUGUGUGUUGGGCCUCCGUCCUCCUCCCGGGGGACGGGCCCGAAAGGCAGCGGCGGCACCGCGUCCGGUCCUCGAGCGUAUGGGGCUUCGUCACCCGCUCUUGUAGGCCCGGCCGGCGCUUGCCGACACAUCAAUCUUUUUUCCAGGUUGACCUCGGAGCAGGUAGGGAUACCCGCUGAACUUAAGCAUAUCAAUAAGCGGACGA
RNAcentral lists this unclassified non-coding RNA (345 nucleotides) under soil metagenome. Its description in RNAcentral is "partial contains 5.8S ribosomal RNA, internal transcribed spacer 2, and large subunit ribosomal RNA". The stretch from base 1 to 120 matches the Rfam family "5.8S ribosomal RNA", at positions 35 to 154 of the family's 154-position model. The record is from RNAcentral.